Molecule: non-coding RNA, 45 nt
Organism: Schistosoma curassoni
Lineage: Eukaryota; Metazoa; Platyhelminthes; Trematoda; Strigeidida; Schistosomatidae
Source: Rfam
AUUCAGCUGACGAAUCCCAAAUAGGACGAAACGCGCGUCCUGGAU